UGGGGAAUAUUGGGCAAUGGGCGCAAGCCUGACCCAGCAACGCCGCGUGAGGGAAGAAGGUCUUCGGAUUGUAAACCUCUGUCCUUGGGGACGAAAAAAAUGACGGUACCCAAGGAGGAAGCUCCGGCUAACUACGUGCCAGCAGCCGCGGUAAUACGUAGGGAGCGAGCGUUGUCCGGAAUUACUGGGCGUAAAGGGUGCGUAGGCGGCAUGGCAAGUCAGAUGGGAAAUCCCCGGGCUUAACUCGGGGGGUGCAUUUGAAACUGCUGUGCUUGAGUGCAGGAGAGGAAAGCGGAAUUCCUAGUGUAGCGGUGAAAUGCGUAGAUAUUAGGAGGAACACCAGUGGCGAAGGCGGCUUUCUGGACUGUAACUGACGCUGAGGCACGAAAGCGUGGGGAGCAUACA
This 405-nucleotide ribosomal RNA is filed under the name uncultured prokaryote. RNAcentral describes it as "bacterial SSU rRNA". It matches the Rfam family "Bacterial small subunit ribosomal RNA", at positions 355 to 774 of the family's 1533-position model. The record is from RNAcentral.